AACCAUUUCCAUCGUUCAUCCAUUCUAUCCUGGCUAAGUGGUUGAGGUUUCUUCAGUAAGAGAUUAUGACAUCUCAAAAUAGCAAGCAAUACAUCAUUAAACCGCCUACUAAUUCUUUCUUCAGAUCUCACAAAUUGUCUCUUUAUUACUCUAAUUUUGACGUCAUAUGCUAUAAUAUGUAAAAACAUGGCAACCAUUUCUUCUACACCCAUAUUCCUACUUGGUUCUAACCUUUCAACUUCUUUAAGCAUGUUACACAAUGCAUGAAAGGUACGCCUAUCCAUUCUUGUAUUUUCUAUACAUGCUAGAUCACUAAAAUAAAUAAUCCUAUCGACACUAACAUCCCUUACUACUUGCCUACUAUAACUAUCAUUCUAUUUUCUUUUCUUUUUUCUCAAUUGCAAUAUAAUCAAAACAUAGCAAAUCAU
Molecule: non-coding RNA, 428 nt
Organism: Arachis ipaensis
Lineage: Eukaryota; Viridiplantae; Streptophyta; Magnoliopsida; Fabales; Fabaceae
Source: RefSeq, a predicted model, not a curated record